UUACGGCCACAUCACGUUGAAACACCGGUUUCCGUACGAUCAUCGAAGUUAGGCAACGUCAAGCCUGGUCAGUACGAAGAUGGGUGACCGCUUGAGAAUAACAGGUGAU
Molecule: non-coding RNA, 109 nt
Organism: Acanthosepion pharaonis
Lineage: Eukaryota; Metazoa; Mollusca; Cephalopoda; Sepiida; Sepiidae
Source: the annotation of a GenBank genome assembly